This 874-nucleotide ribosomal RNA is filed under the name human gut metagenome. Its description in RNAcentral is "bacterial SSU rRNA". It matches the Rfam family "Bacterial small subunit ribosomal RNA", at positions 525 to 1396 of the family's 1533-position model. The record is from RNAcentral.
ACGUAGGGUGCAAGCGUUAUCCGGAAUUAUUGGGCGUAAAGGGCUCGUAGGCGGUUCGUCGCGUCCGGUGUGAAAGUCCAUCGCUUAACGGUGGAUCCGCGCCGGGUACGGGCGGGCUUGAGUGCGGUAGGGGAGACUGGAAUUCCCGGUGUAACGGUGGAAUGUGUAGAUAUCGGGAAGAACACCAAUGGCGAAGGCAGGUCUCUGGGCCGUUACUGACGCUGAGGAGCGAAAGCGUGGGGAGCGAACAGGAUUAGAUACCCUGGUAGUCCACGCCGUAAACGGUGGAUGCUGGAUGUGGGGCCCGUUCCACGGGUUCCGUGUCGGAGCUAACGCGUUAAGCAUCCCGCCUGGGGAGUACGGCCGCAAGGCUAAAACUCAAAGAAAUUGACGGGGGCCCGCACAAGCGGCGGAGCAUGCGGAUUAAUUCGAUGCAACGCGAAGAACCUUACCUGGGCUUGACAUGUUCCCGACAGCCGUAGAGAUACGGUCUCCCUUCGGGGCGGGUUCACAGGUGGUGCAUGGUCGUCGUCAGCUCGUGUCGUGAGAUGUUGGGUUAAGUCCCGCAACGAGCGCAACCCUCGCCCUGUGUUGCCAGCACGUCGUGGUGGGAACUCACGGGGGACCGCCGGGGUCAACUCGGAGGAAGGUGGGGAUGACGUCAGAUCAUCAUGCCCCUUACGUCCAGGGCUUCACGCAUGCUACAAUGGCCGGUACAACGGGAUGCGACACUGUGAGGUGGAGCGGAUCCCUUAAAACCGGUCUCAGUUCGGAUUGGAGUCUGCAACCCGACUCCAUGAAGGCGGAGUCGCUAGUAAUCGCGGAUCAGCAACGCCGCGGUGAAUGCGUUCCCGGGCCUUGUACACACCGCCCG